RNAcentral lists this ribosomal RNA (3438 nucleotides) under Triticum aestivum (bread wheat). RNAcentral's name for it is "partial small subunit ribosomal RNA". Lineage: Eukaryota; Viridiplantae; Streptophyta; Magnoliopsida; Poales; Poaceae. The record is from RNAcentral.
UAAAGAAGGGGUUUAGAACGUUUUGGAUUGGGAGGUUGGGCUGGUGCGGCGGCGCAGGUUGGUCUGGUGCGGCGGCGGUGGUGGAGGUGGUCGGUGAGGUGGAGUCGCAUCCGAAGGCGGGGCUCGUGUCAGCGGCGGCUGGCGGAUCAGCAGCGGCUCGUGGGAGGAUGUGGCUGCUUAGGGAACCGGCGAAGGAGGGGUAGGGGACGACGUGGAUCGCGGACGAAGGAGGGCUCCUUUCAGCGGCUAGCGGGAGGUAGGGGUGGUGUUGUCGGUGGAGGAGGCGUCCAAAGGAGGCGGCUCGUCCGGAGGAGGAGGAGUUCGAAAGAGGGGGUUCGUCCCGGAGGAGGAGGUGCUCGUAGGGAGGGGCUCGUGAUUCAACCCGACGGAGUACAAAGGGAGUGGACUCGUCCCGGGGAGAGGGCUCUUCGAGGUGGAGGACAUGUAGGAGGGGGUCCACGUCGCGGCGGAGGAACGGGUGGCUCUCGUGAACCGGCCACUCUAAAGUAAGAAACAUUUGAAAACAAGGGAAAAAGAAGACUGGUCAUUGAUCUUGUUGAAGUCUUUCACAAAACUCAAAUAUACUGUCAUGUAAACACUUUUAUUGCCGAUCGGGGUUCAAAAAGAAUACCACUCCUCUAGAAGGUAACGUCGUUUAACAGCGAUGUUGACGUAUGAUUUAGUCACUUAGGGUCAUCCUCAUGAUGUACGUUCGAGACCCUUCUAUUCAAAUUUCCGGCACGACGUUUAUAUCGAUCUCUUGAAGAAAGACAUAUAAAACCACGUUUACAUCUGACUUUCACCUCAUGGUGAAGAUCUCAAUUUGUUAAAAUUGAUCACUUACACAAUCAAGAUACUGGGGCGUUUUUUCUUACACAAUCAAGAUACUUAUAUCUAUAUACCCCAAACUAGACCUUAAAAGAAGAUAUUAAAAGAUAAAGAUCAAACGGUGACGAGGGUCAGUAGGCUAAGACCUUAAAAUACUAGUUAUCAACAGAUAGUAUCAUCUUUAGGGAAGUUCACAACGUUGGAAAUAAUAACUUAACUUUUUGUAAACGAACUAUUAAAUAAAAAAGAUCUCAUUUUACUAUCGUUAAACCAAAACAUGACAGUGGUGAUGACCUUUAUCGUACCGUAGUACUGAAUAAUUUAAUGUUCUAGGGGAUAACAAUUUUGAAGAAAAUAAAUCGAAUUGUGAAUUCUUGUUUAUGUAGGUAUCGAUACAAGUAUCUCUACCAUGUGUCGAAUUCUACACGUACACCAAGUCUAAAACCUUUUCCCAGAUGACCGUCACGGUACAUGUUCAUUAUAUUGGGAUCGUCAUGUCAUGGAACAGUACGUCCCGGUGCUCAUUAUAUUCUGACGACAAAACAACGACUAUUAAUCUUGCAAACCUACGAACAACAAAUCCAACACGCAGAUCCAAACCAUCAUCACGACCACACACACCGAAUCAGAGACUACAAAAGUCAUUACCUUUAACCCUCGAUACGAGGAUUCAUCUUUUUAACCUUCUUAAUCCUGUACUCCGAUCGACUCAUGGUACGAGAAAAGAGGAUAUACAUUAAGAAUGUUUGACAAGGGAUUAAAAGUAAACUACGAAAGUGACUUUAUAAAAAAACCUAACAAACAGAACACUCGUCGCAUGUAGAAGAAACAGGAGAGGUUCGUCACAGUUGAUGAGGUAUGUUCGUGUAUUCGAAUACGAGAAUACUAAUAUAUAAAUGAAAACCUAUGUACAAACGACGAUAAAGUCUUGUAACUUUGAAUAAAUCGUAAAGCAAAGAAUAUACGAAGUACGUUUACUUUGACGUCAUUUGUAUACUUGACUCUAAAACGAACGGUAGACAUAUGUACGGGACUUAAACUAAUCAGAAAAAUACGUAUGUUGAUGACCUUCGAAAAUGUACAGGACCUUGACUCGAAAAUGUACGGGACACAUAAGACUUCUAAUCAGAAAACAAUAACCCGUCAUGAACUUUGUCUCAGCAACCAGAGGACUGUAUAUUGGUAAAUACUUCUCGUAUCCACUACGGAAGAGAACAUAAGGAUACGUAUCAGGUCAUGAAAAAAUACACAUUUUUCACCGACUGGAUCGUAUCACCGUAAUGUGAAAAAACAUAAAACAUGUGUAGUCCUUGGAACGAUAUCUAUGUGUGACUUUCAACUUUUACUACGAUCGUCUUUAACCACAAGACAGUCGAUGCGUAGACAAAAUUUUGUACUAUACUGAUGAACGAAACCUUAUGAAUAGACUAGGAUAGAGUACAUAUAAAAUCAAUAAAGAUCUGUUUAGAAAUCCUUGGUUCAAGUAAAUGUUGAGUUUCAGAACACGUACCUCCUCUUAACUCUAUGAACGAGUAAGACAUGAACAGUUUUGCAUACACAUCUAUAAGACGAGUAAGACCAACUACGAUGAUGAACUAAUUACAGAAGAAAUGCUCGAAGAUGGAACACAUUUAUUGUACUAAUAAACCGUCGGACCAAAGUAUAGAAACUUAGAAUACACUUAUUUGAUACAGGUUCACAAAAGACAAGAAACGAAUUGAUCUAUAGUUUCAUAUUUGUUGUUCGAGUACAUGUUCUACCGUUAAUACCACCAAUAAAUCAAAUAAAGUAACUAAGAGCUGUAUAAUUAACUAAGAUCUCAGGAUCGAAAUACGUUCCUCUACAUUUUCUUCGUUGUUCAUUAAAGGGAAGAGGAAAGAAAAUGUUAACAGUACUAAAAUAUACUGGAAAAAAUCAAUUUUGGACAACAGCAACCAGACUUAUAAAACUAGUAAUUUUAAACACUACUUAAGAAUUUAACUAAUCCUUCUGACCUACACAUUUUGAAACAAAUACAGCGACCCACGUCCAGAAAAUAUAGGAAGGUUAUGGAACUUGAUUGAUAAAAGAGACGCCAAUGUAUAUACGUGUAGAAUACGAGUAAACGUCCCGAAGUCGUUUCAAACCGGCUGGAAAACCACCGAUUAUAAAUCUUCGAUAUAAAUUAGGUUUCGAAAAGAAAUUGUCUCGUUAAGUCGACCAAGGACAGUUUGAAAAGAUAGUUGAUACACGGGUAUAGGAGACCGUGCGUUUUAGGGGGGAGUUCUCCGCUCGGUAAUCACAAACUACAACCGUAGUAGCAACCUUCUAGAAGACGUGAUAGAUGUGCUACAAAGAAGAUGUACUAUCGUGAAGUGCAGAUGUACUACAAAGAAGAUGUACUAUCGUGAACUUCUGAUGUACUGCAAAGAACAUAAGCGUCGAGUUUGGUAAACACAUCGAAUCAAACUUGUUUUCCAGAAUAACAGAACGUACAUUUGAGAUAAAUCAUUACAUCGAUCUACGAUGACUUGCGUACAUGUUUACAGUUUUAUGAUUUCACAAACAGUAAUGCACAAACUCUAGACGAUAACUUAGAACUCACUUAAGGAGAUACUUGUCUUUAGUUUU